GAAAAACCACAAAGAAAGAGGCAUAUGAAAAGUGAAAAAAAUACAGAGCUGGAGGUGAACCUAAACACUCAGAGGUAAUUUGCCUUGAGGAGCAAGAGCCCUUGAGACCUAUGUGUAGACUUUGGAAAAAAGAACCUGUGAACAAUAGUAAAGGCUAUGAAAGUACCAUCCCUCUGACAGGUUGUCUUCUAACUGGAAAAUGAAGAGUCAAAAAGUCCUGAGGCCUUUCUGCCCUUCUCACUGAAAGGAAAAUGAACAGCCUGGUCAUGGGAUGAAUGUUGUCUUGGGUCACCAUCAAGAUCCUGACCUGCCUAAAUGAUGUGACACAAGGAAAGAGGCAGAAUUCCUCAGUGAUCCUUCUGGAGCAGCCUCUCACUUUACAGCCCUCUGAAUCAUCCUCACAUCCUCACCUGGCACCAGGCACCGAAGAUGCAG
RNAcentral lists this long non-coding RNA (435 nucleotides) under Parus major (Great Tit). RNAcentral describes it as "lncRNA (ENSPMJG00000001777.1)". The record is from RNAcentral. Lineage: Eukaryota; Metazoa; Chordata; Aves; Passeriformes; Paridae.